Molecule: non-coding RNA, 129 nt
Organism: Pseudomonas syringae
Lineage: Bacteria; Pseudomonadati; Pseudomonadota; Gammaproteobacteria; Pseudomonadales; Pseudomonadaceae
Source: Rfam
CCACGCUGGCCGGAAGCCGAUAUUGAUUUGGCGGGCAAACCGGCAUGGAUGCCGGUUUAGCCGCGCUGGGCCAGGGAUGGCCCUUCGCGGCGGGCCCGCCGAAUCAAUGUCGGAUUACGGGUAUGCCGA